RNAcentral lists this unclassified non-coding RNA (262 nucleotides) under uncultured fungus. Its description in RNAcentral is "partial contains small subunit ribosomal RNA, internal transcribed spacer 1, and 5.8S ribosomal RNA". The stretch from base 1 to 73 matches the Rfam family "Eukaryotic small subunit ribosomal RNA", at positions 1759 to 1831 of the family's 1831-position model. Lineage: Eukaryota; Fungi. The record is from RNAcentral.
ACAAACUUGGUCAUUUAGAGGAAGUAAAAGUCGUAACAAGGUUUCCGUAGGUGAACCUGCGGAAGGAUCAUUAUCGAGGGGGCUUGCCCCCGUCAAGAUACCACCCUUUGCCUUUGAGUACCUUCUGUUUCCUCGGCAGGCUCGCCUGCCAAUGGGGACCACAACCAAACCUUUUUGUAUCUGUAGUAAACGUUUUACAAAAUAAAAAAUCAAAACUUUCAACAACGGAUCUCUUGGUUCUGGCAUCGAUGAAGAACGCAGC